Molecule: ribosomal RNA, 116 nt
Filed under: Paenibacillus mucilaginosus
Lineage: Bacteria; Bacillati; Bacillota; Bacilli; Caryophanales; Paenibacillaceae
Source: RNAcentral
UUUGGUGAUGAUGGCGGAAGGGAACACGCGUACCCAUCCCGACACGAACGUUAAGCCUUCCAGCGUCCAAUGGUACUUGGACCGCAGGGUCCUGGGAGAGUAGAACGUCGCCAAGC